AUUGAACGCUGGCGGCAUGCCUUACACAUGCAAGUCGAACGGCAGCACGGGUGCUUGCACCUGGUGGCGAGUGGCGAACGGGUGAGUAAUACAUCGGAACGUACCUUAUCGUGGGGGAUAACGCAGCGAAAGCUGUGCUAAUACCGCAUACGCCCUGAGGGGGAAAGCGGGGGAUCGAAAGACCUCGCGCGAUUAGAGCGGCCGAUGCCUGAUUAGCUUGGUGGUGGGGGAAAAGCCCACCAAGGCGACGAUCAGUAGCUGGUCUGAGAGGACGAUCAGGCACACUGGGACUGAGACACGGCCCAGACUCCUACGGGAGGCAGCAGUGGGGAAUUUUGGACAAUGGGGGCAACCCUGAUCCAGCAAUGCCGCGUGAGUGAAGAAGGCCUUCGGGUUGUAAAGCUCUUUUGUCAGGGAAGAAACACCGGCUCUAACACAGUCUGGGAAUGACGGUACCUGAAGAAUAAGCACCGGCUAACUACGUGCCAGCCGCCGCGGUAA
Molecule: ribosomal RNA, 501 nt
Filed under: uncultured bacterium
Lineage: Bacteria
Description: partial 16S ribosomal RNA
Rfam family: Bacterial small subunit ribosomal RNA
Source: RNAcentral